CAGAAUCAGGUUAACAUAGGGCAGAUGGAGAACACCUAGCAAUGCUGAGCACCUUCACAUGGGUGUUUUUGCACCUGAAGAAAAUUUUCAAUUAUUUUUGGGGCAAGUUUCUCAAGCUAAAUGUGCUGCCUGUUUUCCCUGUCCUCUCUGAGGCAGAGAGCUUGUGUAGAAGCCCAGAAGAUGAGAAGGCUAAUGUGUGUGUCUCGAACAUGGAUAACUGGAUAGCUGUGGAGCCAAGCAAGGAUCGUUGUCAUCAGAAUGUGCCCAGCUGAGAGGAGAUGAUGCAGCCAGGCUGCAUCCCUGAUCCAGAGCAAACCCAAGGUCAGAGCCAGAAAGGUGCUGCAGGUCUGGAGCCAGAAAGCUGGCUGGGGUUUCCACACAGCACAGACUGUGCAUCUGGGAGCAAACCAAGCCAUAAACCCAGAGAGGUCCCAUAUGGCUGGAUCCCCAUGGGCAGUGCUCAACUGAGGCCAGGUUUGAAAAUCAACCCUAAAAACAAGCACAUCGUCACCACUCACACCUUGGGAUGGUGUAAAAACCACAAUAAGGGGGAUUGAGCCUUAGGGGUUGAGGGUUGAUUAUUUAAAGAAUGUAACGAAGUGGAAGUGUCUCUACAUUCCAAUAUGGAGGUCUAGGAUUUCAUGGCAAGAUAUGCAUUGUGUUCCCUUCCUUCAUACAAGCACUGUCAGGCAAUCAGUAUUGUCUGACAGGGAUAAAUAAAAUAACCCCAGAUUAGUUUACUGUUUGUGCCUUGGCACAAUAAACCAUACAUUUGUAGUAAAUUAAAUUGUUUUGAUAGGUUCAGGAAGAAUAUUUUUAAAAAGUGUUUAAACAUAUCAAGGCAAAGCAAAACUCUUCUUAGCAUUCUCAUUCCCAGUUUACAGAUACUUGGGUUCUCCUCAUUCCUCUCUGUUUUGUUUUGUUUUUUUAAUUUAAUUCAAGCAGCAUGUAUCACCCUAUUUUAAAAACACCCCAUUUAAAAAAAUGAAGCAAUAUUUGUAUCAGUUUAACCUACUUCUGAGAUAUUUUGAUAGAGGCUCUAGGCUUAAUGCAGACUACUGCAGAAGGAUUUUUUGUUUGCACAGAAAGAAAUCUGCUUAUGGCAGGUUAAAACAAAGGAGAUAGGUCAGACUAGUCUGACCAACUGCCCCUUUAAUCAAAUAUAAGCUCAGUUUAGGGGAUUUUUUAAAAUGAAUUUAUCCUUAUCCCUAAGACAACUUGGCCCAAGAAAUAGGAGGCAAUAUCCUUUCUGCAACAAUCCUUACCAUUAACUGCAAUUUUAAAUAACAACCUGAGUUAUUAAUAUUACUGCCCAUGUUAAACUCUUUCAACAGUUUUCUACCUCCUAUUAAAAAAAACAAAACAAAAUGUGUUCUCUUCUGUUUCUUUCCAACACCAUUGAGGCCUUCUAGUUUUGUAUCUUGUUUUGUUCUCCAAGCUGUAGUUUCUUGCAAAUAGCAUUCUCCAAUUUCUGCUCUGACAACCAUUCCUGCAUUUUUCCAUGCACCCAUUUCCACUGAGGAAACAUGGAUCACAGAAUUUUUCAACAAUUGGCAGCUGAAGGAGACAGGAACAGGAGAGUGGCUAAAACUGGAUAGUGAAGAAGAUUAUUGCAGAUAAAAUGAUGGAAAAACAGGAAAGAAUUUGGCUGAACUGCAUGUGUGUGGUCAACGCUUGGACUCCAUGACAUGUGUCUUUUCCGACCUUAAUGAUUCUCUGAAAGACUGAAAAACAAGAUCAAGAGGUAAAGAACAACACGGAGGAAGAGGAAGAUGGGCAUUUUUAGCCUUUCACAGAAUCACAGAAGUUUAUUCCUAGUCAGAACUCAAGCUCUUAGUUAAAAGCUCUUCCAUCUGCCUGUAGCCAAGCUGUAAGUGAGGACAUCCAAAAGAAAAGAUAGGGAUUGUUUCUGGAAGAGGAAAAGAGCAGUUGCUUGUUGGGUACCAAGAAAAAUCAUGGCACACCAUUCAA
Cyanistes caeruleus (blue tit) is the source of this 1971-nucleotide long non-coding RNA. RefSeq lists it as uncharacterized. The record is from RefSeq and is a predicted model, not a curated record. NCBI's taxonomy places the organism in Eukaryota, Metazoa, Chordata, Aves, Passeriformes, Paridae.